Molecule: long non-coding RNA, 1171 nt
Organism: Vigna radiata var. radiata (mung bean)
Lineage: Eukaryota; Viridiplantae; Streptophyta; Magnoliopsida; Fabales; Fabaceae
Exons: 2
Source: RefSeq, a predicted model, not a curated record
UGGAGGUUAUUUUCCGGCGGUUUAUAAAACCUCCCAAAUGUUCUGGCGGUUUUGCAAAGAAACCGCCUGCAAAUGUUAAAUAUAUCACGCUCGCUGAUUCGUGCCUCCUUCAAUUAAGUUCUUCUUCAUUUCACAGGCUUUUCUUCCUACAUUUGUGUUUCUUCUUCAGUUAAGUUCUUCUUCAUUUUACAAGCUCUUCUUCCUUUCACAGGUCUUUCUCCUUUAUUUCACUUAUGGAAAUUGAUUGAUUAUUUACCCUUCGUUACUGAGUGUGCGCCUUUCGCCCCGUGGCUCGUCAUUGUCGCUUGAGUUUCCAGAAAUCGUUGAGCGUGCUCGCCUUUAGGGAUUGCGCGCGUGGGUGUCUUCGUUCGUUGCCUGUGAGAGCAAAAUCGUUGAGCAAUGCGAGGAGGGAGCGAGGACUGAAUGUGCCGUCAGCGCUUCCAGGAACUGUAAGCCUACAUGGUGGAAGGCUCUAGCGGGCCUCACAAUUCACGAUCUGAAGGAACGGGAGGAGUGUGAAGUGCGGGAUAGGGCGGGUUGUUUCGCUGUGGCUAAGGAUAAAUGUGCUGACUUCGCCAGGGAGAAGUGUUUGGUUCCCUUUAGGGAUGCGAGGAUUAGGGUUGCGAAAGGGGUUUUGAGUUCCAAGGGUGUUGGGAAGUUGAUUGGUUGGGGAUCGAUGCCUGUGAAUGGGAGGAACAUGUGGUUGAUGAAUCAAAUGGGUCUGAUUGGUGGUGAUUUGGGAAAAAAUUAUUUCUAUCAGAGGAUUCUAUCAAGGUUCAUUAACAGAUACCAAUAUACGGUGAAGUUGAGAAACGAUAUAUUCAUGAUCCACUACUUUCUCAGGUGAUGAUGAUCUUGCAAUCUUGAGCGCGGAAAUUAAAAGCCGAAAAAAGAAGCAAAUUAAUCACUUAAAGAAAAAAUCACUCUGUUCUAGAAAUUUGGAGGAGGUAACAUCAGAUUUCUUCUCUGCAAAUUUAUGUUUAUCUUGUCGCUCAAUGUUGUCCUCCUUGUUUGUUUUAUCCCCAAUUAGUCUUUCAUAGUAUCCGAUCCACGUAUAAUCAAAUAUACUGUAGAGAAAAUGAUUUUUAUUUAUAGAUGUGGGUUCAUCUUGUGGAUAUUAUAAAUAGAGAGAACCUGCAUAAGUUGAGUUGAAUAUGAUUCAAAUCCAAUG